CUGGUAGCAUAUAUAAUAUGCGAAGAUCAUUUCAAAUCUAGAGGAAAAUUUACUGAAUUAUAAGGACUGGGUAGAGAAUAACAAAGCCAAGGCUUAAACCUGAUAUGCCUGUAAUGUUAAAGAAUAUUGGACUGGAUCUUAGCAGUGUCAUGCCUUCUGGAUUAAACUGGGAAGAACCUGUGCCAGCUACACAGGAUAAAGGUAUUCAGUGUGGGCCUUACUACAGUAAUAAAACUGUGCAAGUUAUGCCAACCAUGGUCAGCAGGUCAGUUGGAACAAAGCUUGCGAAAUGCCACACACGAACCUAUCCUUACUGCAGAGGAAUCAUCGGAGGGACACAAUCCAUCUGCAAUUGCAGUACUACUGAACUUGAAGUGCAAGAAACUUUGAAAAAUAGUGAUUGGCACAUUGUUAAUACCCAGAAUAAAAAUAAACUAAGAAAAACAAAAUCUUUUAAGGGGCAAUGAAUAUGUUUUUACAAUAAAAUUCCCAUCGACAUUCAAAUUUACAUUUGAACAGUUUUAAGGCAGUAAUUAAACAGAAACUUUGUAAAAAAGGUUAUUAUUGUAAGAUUAGUGAUUAUUAAGAUGAUAUGAAUGCAUGGGAUUAAUUGUCAGGGAACUGGUAUUAGGUAGCCUAAUUACUAAAUUGUAUAACAAUAUUUUAAGGUUUUACUUGCAGCUUCUUUUUCCUGGCUAUACAAGUUGAGAAGCUGUAGUAGUUUUAAGCGGUUGGAUCAUAUGUUCAUUAUGUAAAAAAUGAUGAUACAAAGUGUAGCUAUGUUACCUACUGAAUAAAGAUAUUUUUGAAUUA
Pectinophora gossypiella (pink bollworm) is the source of this 813-nucleotide long non-coding RNA. RefSeq lists it as uncharacterized. The transcript is spliced from 2 exons. The record is from RefSeq and is a predicted model, not a curated record. NCBI's taxonomy places the organism in Eukaryota, Metazoa, Arthropoda, Insecta, Lepidoptera, Gelechiidae.